This 252-nucleotide ribosomal RNA is filed under the name uncultured bacterium. RNAcentral describes it as "partial 16S ribosomal RNA". It matches the Rfam family "Bacterial small subunit ribosomal RNA", at positions 524 to 776 of the family's 1533-position model. The record is from RNAcentral.
UACGGGGGAUGCGAGCGUUAUCCGGAUUUAUUGGGUUUAAAGGGUGCGUAGGCGGACGCUUAAGUCAGCGGUAAAAUUGCGGGGCUCAACCUCGUCGAGCCGUUGAAACUGGGUGUCUUGAGUGGGCGAGAAGUACGCGGAAUGCGUGGUGUAGCGGUGAAAUGCAUAGAUAUCACGCAGAACUCCGAUUGCGAAGGCAGCGUACCGGCGCCCAACUGACGCUGAAGCACGAAGGCGUGGGUAUCGAACAGG